Molecule: ribosomal RNA, 498 nt
Filed under: uncultured bacterium
Lineage: Bacteria
Description: partial 16S ribosomal RNA
Rfam family: Bacterial small subunit ribosomal RNA
Source: RNAcentral
GAUGAACGCUGGCGGCGUGCCUAAUACAUGCAAGUCGAGCGAACGGACGAGAAGCUUGCUUCUCUGAUGUUAGCGGCGGACGGGUGAGUAACACGUGGAUAACCUACCUAUAAGACUGGGAUAACUUCGGGAAACCGUAGCUAAUACCGGAUAAUAUUUUGAACCGCAUGGUUCAAAAGUGAAAGACGGUCUUGCUGUCACUUAUAGAUGGAUCCGCGCUGCAUUAGCUAGUUGGCAAGGUAACGGCUUACCAAGGCAACGAUGCAUAGCCGACCUGAGAGGGUGAUCGGCCACACUGGAACUGAGACACGGUCCAGACUCCUACGGGAGGCAGCAGUAGGGAAUCUUCCGCAAUGGGCGAAAGCCUGACGGAGCAACGCCGCGUGAGUGAUGAAGGUCUUCGGAUCGUAAAACUCUGUUAUUAGGGAAGAACAUAUGUGUAAGUAACUGUGCACAUCUUGACGGUACCUAAUCAGAAAGCCACGGCUAACUACGUGC